Molecule: transfer RNA, 61 nt
Filed under: Phallocryptus tserensodnomi
Lineage: Eukaryota; Metazoa; Arthropoda; Branchiopoda; Anostraca; Thamnocephalidae
Description: tRNA-Ala
Source: RNAcentral
AGGAGUAUAGUUUAUAAAAAUAUCAAGUUUGCACCUUGAAGAUAGUACCUACUUACUCUCA